Molecule: ribosomal RNA, 253 nt
Filed under: uncultured bacterium
Lineage: Bacteria
Description: partial 16S ribosomal RNA
Rfam family: Bacterial small subunit ribosomal RNA
Source: RNAcentral
UACGAAGGGGGCUAGCGUUGCUCGGAAUGACUGGGCGUAAAGGGCGCGUAGGCGGAUGGCACAGUCAGAUGUGAAAUUCCCGGGCUUAACCUGGGGGCUGCAUUUGAUACGUGUGAUCUAGAGUGAGGAAGAGGGUCGUGGAAUUCCCAGUGUAGAGGUGAAAUUCGUAGAUAUUGGGAAGAACACCGGUGGCGAAGGCGGCGACCUGGUCCGACACUGACGCUGAGGCGCGAAAGCGUGGGGAGCAAACAGG